RNAcentral lists this ribosomal RNA (495 nucleotides) under uncultured bacterium. Its description in RNAcentral is "bacterial SSU rRNA". It matches the Rfam family "Bacterial small subunit ribosomal RNA", at positions 30 to 507 of the family's 1533-position model. The record is from RNAcentral.
AUGAACGCUAGCGGCAGGCUUAAUACAUGCAAGUUGAGGGGCAGCAUGAUAUACGCGAGUAUAUUGAUGGCGACCGGGCGGACGGGUGAGUAAUAGGUAGGAGACCUACCUCAUACAGGGGGAUAGCAUAGAGAAAUCUGUGGUAAUACCCCAUGAGGUUAUAUGAAUAGAGGCAUAUAAUCAAAGCAUAAGCGAUUAUGCGGUAUGAGAGGGGCCUACUGACCAUUAGCUAGUUGGUGAGGUAAGGGCUCACCAAGGCGAAGAUGGUUAGGGGUUUUGAGAGAGAGACCCCCCACAUUGGAACUGAGAGACGGUCCAGACUCCUACGGGAGGCAGCAGUAGGGAAUAUUGGGCAAUGGGCGAAAGCCUGACCCAGCCAUGCCGCGUGAAGGAAGACGGCCUUAUGGGUUGUAAACUUCUUUACUACGCGAAUAGAGGUUAGUACGAGAUACUAAUAGGAAGGUAGUGUAGUAAAAAGCACCGGCUAACUCCGUG